CGCCUGGGGAGUACGGGUGAGGUAACGGCUCACCAAGGCAUCGACGGGUAGCUGGUAUGAGAGGAUGAUCAGCCACACUGGGACUGAGACACGGCCCAGACUCCUACGGGAGGCAGCAGUGGGGAAUAUUGCACAAUGGGCGAAAGCCUGAUGCAGCAACGCCGCGUGCGGGAUGAAGGCCCUAGGGUUGUAAACCGAUUUCAGCAGGGAAGAAAAUGACGGUACCUGUAGAAGAAGGUGCGGCCAACUACGUGCCAGCAGCCGCGGUGACACGUAGGCACCAAGCGUUGUCCGGAUUUAUUGGGCGUAAAGAGCUCGUAGGCGGUUCAGUAAGUCGGGUGUGAAAACUCUGGGCUCAACCCAGAGACGCCACCCGAUACUGCUGUGACUAGAGUGCGGUAGGGGAGCGGGGAAUUCCUAGUGUAGCGGUGAAAUGCGCAGAUAUUAGGAGGAACACCAGUGGCGAAGGCGCCGCUCUGGGCCGUAACUGACACUGAGGAGCGAAAGCGUGGGUAGCAAACAGGAUUAGAUACCCUGGUAGUCCACGCCGUAAACGUUGGGCACUAGGUGUGGGUCUCAACCAACGAGAUCCGCGCCGUCGCUAACGCAUUAAGUGCCCCGCCUGGGGAGUACG
RNAcentral lists this ribosomal RNA (634 nucleotides) under uncultured Actinomycetes bacterium. RNAcentral's name for it is "bacterial SSU rRNA". It matches the Rfam family "Bacterial small subunit ribosomal RNA", at positions 234 to 884 of the family's 1533-position model. Lineage: Bacteria; Bacillati; Actinomycetota; Actinomycetes. The record is from RNAcentral.